GAUGAACGCUGGCGGCGUGCCUAAUACAUGCAAGUAGAACGCUGAAGGAAGGAGCUUGCUCUUUCCGGAUGAGUUGCGAACGGGUGAGUAACGCGUAGGUAACCUGCCUGGUAGCGGGGGAUAACUAUUGGAAACGAUAGCUAAUACCGCAUAACAGUAGAUGUUGCAUGAUAUCUACUUAAAAGGUGCAAUUGCACCACUACCAGAUGGACCUGCGUUGUAUUAGCUAGUUGGUGAGGUAACGGCUCACCAAGGCGACGAUACAUAGCCGACCUGGGAGGGUGAUCGGCCACACUGGGACUGAGACACGGCCCAGACUCCUACGGGAGGCAGCAGUAGGGAAUCUUCGGCAAUGGACGGAAGUCUGACCCAGCAACGACGCGUGAGUGAAGAAGGUUUUCGGAUCGUAAAGCUCUGUUGUAAGAGAAGAACGAGUGUGAGAGUGGAAAGUUCACACUGUGACGGUAUCUUACCAGAAAGGGACGGCUAACUACGUG
RNAcentral lists this ribosomal RNA (497 nucleotides) under uncultured bacterium. RNAcentral's name for it is "partial 16S ribosomal RNA". It matches the Rfam family "Bacterial small subunit ribosomal RNA", at positions 28 to 507 of the family's 1533-position model. The record is from RNAcentral.